Molecule: ribosomal RNA, 465 nt
Filed under: uncultured bacterium
Lineage: Bacteria
Description: partial 16S ribosomal RNA
Rfam family: Bacterial small subunit ribosomal RNA
Source: RNAcentral
CCUACGGGUGGCAGCAGUAGGGAAUCUUCCACAAUGGGCGAAAGCCUGAUGGAGCAACCCCGCGUGGGUGAAGAAGGUCUUCGGAUCGUAAAACCCUGUUGUUAGAGAAGAAAGUGCGUGAGAGUAACUGUUCACGUUUCGACGGUAUCUAACCAGAAAGUCACGGCCAACUACGUGCCAGCAGCCGCGGUACGACGUAGGUGGCAAGAGUUAUCCGGAGUUAUUGGGCGUAAAGGGAACGCAGGCGGGCUUUUAAGUCUGAUGUGAAAGCCUUUGGCGUAACCGGAGUAGGUCAUUGGAAGCUGGGAGACUUGAGUGCAGGAGAGGAGAGUGGAACUCCAUGUGUAGCGGUGAAAUGCGUAGAUAUAUGGAAGAACACCAGUGGCGAAAGCGGCUCUCUGGUCUGUAACUGACGCUGAGGUUCGAAAGCGUGGGUAGCAAACAGGAUUAGAUACCCUUGUAGUC